RNAcentral lists this long non-coding RNA (201 nucleotides) under Vigna radiata. RNAcentral describes it as "long non-coding RNA (VRAD_LNC002784)". The record is from RNAcentral. Lineage: Eukaryota; Viridiplantae; Streptophyta; Magnoliopsida; Fabales; Fabaceae.
CAGUAUUAGUGCAAAUUUUUUAAAAUAGCCCUAGUUGGCUUCUAAUCUCCACCCACAUGCAAAUUUCUCAGUUCUAGACCUCAAUCACAUAAUUUAAUCAAUCCAAACAAUGAUUAUUUCAAUUAAUUAUGCAUAAAUAUCAAAAACCCUAACAUUUCAUGCUUAGACAAUUAUCCUCAUACAAAAUCAUGCUCUUAAAAC